This 309-nucleotide ribosomal RNA is filed under the name uncultured eukaryote. RNAcentral's name for it is "partial 18S ribosomal RNA". It matches the Rfam family "Eukaryotic small subunit ribosomal RNA", at positions 1470 to 1796 of the family's 1831-position model. The record is from RNAcentral.
CCCUUAGAUGUUCUGGGCGGCCCGCGCACUACAUUGGCACUAGCAAAGAGAUCCUAGAUUGAAUUCUUUGGGGUAUUCUUCUAAAUGGUGUCGUGACUGGGAUAAAUCCUUGUAAUUAUUGGUUUUGAACGAGGAAUUCCUUGUAAUCGCGGUUUAUCAGCUCGCGUUGAAUGCGUCCCUGCCCUUUGUACACGCCGCCCGUCGCUCCUACCGAUGGAUCGUCCGGUGAAGCUCACGGAGUGACUGUUCACGCAACGGUUUACGAAGUGAAAUGGACCUCACGAUUUAGAGGAAGGAGAAGUCGUAACA